Molecule: ribosomal RNA, 252 nt
Filed under: uncultured bacterium
Lineage: Bacteria
Description: partial 16S ribosomal RNA
Rfam family: Bacterial small subunit ribosomal RNA
Source: RNAcentral
UACGGAGGGUGCGAGCGUUGCUCGGAAUUACUGGGCGUAAAGCGCACGUAGGCGGCUUGUUAAGUCGGAGGUGAAAUCCUGGAGCUCAACUCCAGAACUGCCUUCGAUACUGGCGAGCUUGAGUUCGGGAGAGGUGAGUGGAACUGCGAGUGUAGAGGUGAAAUUCGUAGAUAUUCGCAAGAACACCAGUGGCGAAGGCGGCUCACUGGCCCGAUACUGACGCUGAGGUGCGAAAGCGUGGGAGCAAACAGG